AACGUAGGUGGCAAGCGUUAUCCGGAUUUACUGGGCGUAAAGGGUGUGCAGGCGGGCUGUCAAGUGGUGUAUGAAAGCCUCCAGCUUAACUGGGGAGGGUUAUGCCAGACUGACAGUCUUGAGGACGAGAGAGGGGCGUGGAAUUCCGGGUGUAGUGGUGAAAUGCGUAGAUAUCGGGAGGAACACCUGAGGCGAAGGCGGGUUACUGGGCUGAUACUGACGCUGAUGCGCGAAAGCCAGGGGAGCAAACGGG
This 253-nucleotide ribosomal RNA is filed under the name uncultured prokaryote. RNAcentral describes it as "partial 16S ribosomal RNA". It matches the Rfam family "Bacterial small subunit ribosomal RNA", at positions 524 to 776 of the family's 1533-position model. The record is from RNAcentral.